UACUGCUCUGCCAGAAAUGAGAGCCUCCUUAUACAGGGAUCUGCAGCGGCGUUGAGCAUGCUCACUGAAGCAGGGAGAGGAGUUACAGAACAUUCUCACAAGGGGGCGGGGCUUAACAGAACAUUCCUGAAAGGUCACACUGUUCGGUCACAAAACCUUUUGAUACCUUGGGCAGGGGCCGCCCAGCAGCACAAACUGUUACAUCUCUGAAACAAAACAUUCUGUGGGAAAAAAACAUGGAGGCAAGGCGAGGGAAAGGCAAGACCUAUCUUGCCGUGCAUCAUUGCUCUAUCAGUUCACCACAGAUGAGGGUACCACAAGAUCGAGGCUGAAGCAGUGAGGUGGCCGCACCUGGUGGCACCUGCCCCAGUCCCCAGGCUUGGCCACCAUGCUGCAGUCCCAGGACCCUGGCUCCCCGCGAGCUCCCGGCCUGGCUGCUGGCUCCCCUUGGGCCCCUGCUGCUGCACCACUCUGGUCCACGCCUUGAACUCCGGACUCUGAGAUGAAGAACCUUGUCUGUAUGAAGCACCCAGCUUCAAACACCCACAACUCAAAGGCGGUGAGGUUCAUUUUGGCUCACACUCUCAGUCCAUGGCCAGCGAGCGGUUUCAGGGCACCAAGGCGUGGAGGGCACCAACGAUUGUCAUGGCAACCAGGAAACCGGAGGACAACAGGAGUGGGGAGGAGAUAGCCCCUCCAGGCCACGCCCCCAGGGAGCAUCUCUUUCAAUCAGGCCCCACCUCCCAACACCCAAGAUCCAGCCUCCUUCCCAAGCCUUUGAGACCUUAGGGGACACUCAGAUAUAAACCCUAACCCCAUCGCCGGAAAAUCUGAAGCCAUCUGAAAGCACCCGCGGAUAAGAAGGUGCCUUGGGAAGAAAAGGAGCUCAGGGUCGCGAGGAGACAUCAGCGACUGCAGCAAAGAAGGAAGCAACAAGAUGCCUCUGGUUGAUCACCUUCCCAUGUGAUCCGCAGAGGAAGUGCCACCAAUUUCCAUAACAUUUCCACAGCAGCUGUGACAGCCCUGUCACCCUGAAGGGGUGGAGAGGAGAACUGCAGGAGGCUCCACAUCCGGUCGGGGCUGGACGUCUGCUGAGCCAAGAGCAGGGAGGGGACAGAGCUAAAACCGGCCAGGGAACAUCAUUCAUACAGCGCAUCGUGAGGUCACGUGGACUCAACUCUGUUACCUUACAGGCCCCCACGUGGGACUUCUCAAUCCUGGCCUAAUUGGCAUCUGUCCACCCACCCAUUCACCAUCCAUCCACCCACCCACCAUCCACCCAUCAUCCAUCCACCAUCCAUCCAUCCACCUAUCUACCCAUUCACCAUCCAUCCACCCACCCAACAUCCACCCAUCCGUCCACCCAUCAUCCAUCCAUCCAUCUACCCAGCCAUUCACUCAUCCAUCAAGCCAUCUAUUCAUCUAUCCAUCCAUCGACUAUCCAUCUUUCUGAGACAGGGACCUAGAGAUCUCCAUGGGAAGAAAGGGCAGGUGCCCCCUGCCCCUUAACUCAGAAUGUGUUACAUAUUAAAAGUACAGAAUAUACUCUUCCCUA
Long non-coding RNA from Heterocephalus glaber (naked mole-rat), 1555 nucleotides. RefSeq lists it as uncharacterized. Lineage: Eukaryota; Metazoa; Chordata; Mammalia; Rodentia; Bathyergidae. The record is from RefSeq and is a predicted model, not a curated record.